AUGACCGAUGCUCUCCCCAGUUUGUUAAUGGCGUGCAAACUUUUCGGGAAGGUCCCUUUGUUUCGGUGCAAAUGGGUCAACAUGACACGAGGCGGGGUAAUAGAAGACCUGCAGUACGGAAUGACAAUAGUGGAUCUCAACAAUCUUGCAUACGUAGAUGAACAAUUCGUCCUAGCCAAUGAUGUGGCGCAGGUUUUCUAUGUGAAGGACAUGUCUACCAAGCCAAGAAAAAGAAAAGAUAAGGAAGCGAGUACAUCAUAUGAUGAGCCAAAUCACCACAUAGUUCUUUCAGGGAAAAGAAACAUCGUGGGAGUGGAUGACAAGACAGACAUGUCAGAAGAUUAUGAAAAGUUUGAUGAAAUUGCUCCCUUCAUAGUGAAUAUUGACCCGAGCAUCCAGUUAAAUGAUGAAGAUUGUCCAUGGUUACGGCGCAAAGGGACACAUGCGAAGAAAAAGUUUCACACCCAAAGGCAGUAG
Molecule: ribosomal RNA, 477 nt
Filed under: Triticum aestivum (bread wheat)
Lineage: Eukaryota; Viridiplantae; Streptophyta; Magnoliopsida; Poales; Poaceae
Description: partial small subunit ribosomal RNA
Source: RNAcentral